GGCAGAGAGAGAGAGAGAUGUGGUAGUGAAAGGUUGUGAGAGGCUGGUUCCUCUUGACUAUCGGAGGCAGAGAGAGAGAGAGAUGUGGUAGUGAAAGGUUGUAAGAGGCUGGUUCCUCUUGACUAUCGAAGGCAGAGAGAGAGAGAGAGAUGUGGUAGUGAAAGGUUGUGAGAGGCUGGUUCCUCUUGACUAUCAGAGGCAUACAAGGGUAGGGAGGCCGUCCACUUUAUCAUGAAGUUUUUGAGGCGGAGGAGCCUUCAAUCAACUCACAGCGACGGGCAUUACACAGAGCCCACUGUGGCCAUCAAUUUCAAGACCAUCAUCAAGGCAGCAGUUGGGUCGUUUGUCAAGCACUACGGCAAAUUGAUUUUGGUGCCAGAGCCAGGUUUGGCUCAAGAUGGGUGCAAGGGCUUGUUUUAUAGUUUCAUUGCUAUAGCUGAGAUCCUUCAAAAAAUAAAAAGGAAAAAAAAGACCUAUGAGUAGUUGUAUGGGCUUUGAAGAGUGGGAACAUCCUUCCAUGAGAACUGUUUCAUUAAAGUUUCAUAUGAGUCUAUUUUCAAUGGAGAAAAUUAUUAGUCUUGUAGUAUUAGGAUUAAGACUUUCUUUUUCAUAGCUUCUUUGGAGUCUAAUUGAAAAUUGUUAUGCAAAUGCAAAAGUUUUGAAGAUACAAGAGAAGGAAAUUGAAUUGAAGA
Phoenix dactylifera (date palm) is the source of this 692-nucleotide non-coding RNA. NCBI's taxonomy places the organism in Eukaryota, Viridiplantae, Streptophyta, Magnoliopsida, Arecales, Arecaceae. The record is from RefSeq and is a predicted model, not a curated record.